GGACUACUGGGGUAUCUAAUCCCAUUCGCUACCCACGCUCUCGUCCUAGCAGUGUCAGGAGGCACCCAGAAGCCUGCCUACGCUAUUGGUGUUCCAAACGAUAUCAACGCAUUUCACUACUACACCGUUUGUUCCAGCUUCCUCUUUGCCCCUCUAGCUUUACAGUUUCAAAAGACAUUCUCCCAGUUGAGCUGAGAGAUUUCACUUCUGACUUGUAAAGCCACCUGUCGGUACGCUUUACGCCCAAUGAUUCCGGAUAACGCUUGAGGUCUCUGUAUUACCGCGGCUGCUGGCAC
Molecule: ribosomal RNA, 296 nt
Filed under: uncultured bacterium
Lineage: Bacteria
Description: partial 16S ribosomal RNA
Source: RNAcentral